Molecule: long non-coding RNA, 1077 nt
Filed under: Physcomitrium patens
Lineage: Eukaryota; Viridiplantae; Streptophyta; Bryopsida; Funariales; Funariaceae
Description: long non-coding RNA (PPAT_LNC007089)
Source: RNAcentral
AAUAGAGCUCUUUCACAUGCAUUGCAAAUAGGUUAUGGACAACUUUCAACCAUGCAUGAGCAUGGGAUGGAACUGACUUGCAGAGUAAGGAAAAGGCAGAUGAGACAAUUGCGAAAUAGAAUCCUUCAAUGCAUUGCUGCCUAUUGAUAUGUCAGUGCUCAUUUCACCUGACUGACAAGCAGCCACUGUUUAUGAAAAUAUCAAUGGAAUGGGUAAACACAACUUACGAGAUCGAAGAAUAAAAUAGGUUACAAGAUCAAAUAGGUUAUGAAACUCUUGAACAGGUGCGUUCCCUACAAUUAUCCUUCUCUUUGUAGCAACAUUUUUUCUUCUUUUAAAUAAAACGUAUAAUAAAAUUUAUAAGAAUAAAAUCACAUAUAAAAACUUAAGACGCGCACAUUCAUAUUAGAAGGAGUCUGAUUGAAAAGAUAGCUUGGAGAAUGGAGAAGCGAAUAGGAGAAUACCAACUUUGAAUUCACUAAAGAUUGCCCCUUGCUAAGGACAUCGAAGAAAGAUGUGCUUAAUUAUGAGAAAAUAAAAAGUGUUGACAUCAUGGGUGGGUUGUAAGCAAUAGGGGUCCAUCUCCUCUUACAAAUUCUAUUGAAGAUGCCUAUUUAGAGGUGUAAACUAUUUCUGCAGCAUCAAAACUAUAUUCAUACAGUGUGGUUUAAUAGGCUCCAGCAUGUUCUCCAAACCUUUUUCUCCAAACAGUAGUGUGACACCCACAAUUGGAUGUGUCCAGAUUAAACAAUAUCACAAAAAAAAUCUCACUAAAUUAUCACAAUUUGAGCUUUCUUCAAAUCUAAAACACACGUUUGUUCUUUUAAAAUUGAACAGGUCACGUUCCUAUUUUUCCUAACAGCAAGCCUUUACCCAUAGAUGCUUCCAUUGAAAUGAUACAUUCACUACUUCCAGCAAAAUCUAAAGAAACUAUCUCAAGCAACCAUUCCAGUAUUGACCAAGUACAGUCGAAUUCAAGCAAGGAUAAUAAAUGCACCUCCGUAGUGGAUUCAAAAAUCUAGAAUAGUUCCGUGGGUUUCGCAACCAUCAGUUCCGGUGUAAUGGAGUGUGUACUGG